GCCCUCUGCUGGACCCUGCGUUUCAGCACCACAUGUGUAGUCUAGUCUCCGUCGCUAAUCUUCCUUAGUAGGUAAACAUAAGCACUACCUUAGCGUUAAACGAAGGGGAUUGGGGUGAAGGUGAGGGUGAAGGAGAGGGCUUAGGUGGAAGGGCGGCCGGCAGUAGCCGCCGCCGCUGCGGGCGCGGGCGCGGGCGCGAGCGCGAGUCGCGGAGCAAGGGCGUGCAGGAGAAGCAGCCUUCUCGCUGCCGCCGCCAACGCCGGGCGCGGCUCGUGCUCGUCCCCACGAGCCGCCCGGCAGUCCCUCUCCGCCGCCGCGUCGCAGCAGUCGACUCGAGCUUGGACGGGUGGCAGACGUUUCCCCCUUAAAGCUAGGUAACUAAAACAUCUGGCUGGCUAGCUAGUUAGCUAAGAUGAGCACGCCUCCUUCUCUACCUGCCAGACAAGUCGAAGUCGUGGUAUUUCCUCAAGCACCCCAAACCCAAGUUCUAGUAGUCGCGCGACCUGUUCCGGUCGGUGUUGCGCCUCCUGACGGCGUGCUAGGUGCGGAAGGACGAGUUGGACUCGCGGUAGCGGCUAGCGGACGUCCCCGACGGGUUCUAGUACCACCUGCUGAACUACUCCCUGUGCCGCCUACCGGAUGUCUUCCGGGAGUUCGCGCGCAGGCUCAAAGAGCGGCUCACGUUCGCGUUCCCCCAGGACGCGGCACGAAAAUUGCGGUUUCUGUAGCGGCUCUUCGACGCGCCCCAGACGGAGCUACACGACGAGUUGUACUUGCGGCACGUCGAGUUGUACUUGCGGCACGUAGAACGGUUGCUACUGAACUUGUCGAGCUUCGACCGGCUCGAAUUCCUUUAACACCGGUUCUAAGACGUAUAACAACGAUGUGUCGGGCGACAAGUAGACGUUCUUCUCCACUUUUUUAACCACUUCCUGCUGGUCUAGUCAAGAGUUUAAUUUUUGUUUUCCCUCUGUUUCUUUUGUCUACAUGGAUCAAGAGUUUUGUUUUUGUUUCCCCUCCGUUUCCUUUGUCUACAACGGUCCGGCCUGCUAUUCUAAGUCUUAUUGUUCUUUGAUCCCGCAUCUUCCCACCACGGUGUACGAAGUAAUGGUCUACUGAAUCGACUCAGGCGAAGUCGCUGGUCACACCAACCUGUUCUCCUACCUGGAUCAUGAUAAUAAUAGUUAUUCCGUUCAUCGAGAUAGAGGCUCAGCCACCUGCUCCGUGUCAGUCACCCUCAAAGACGUCGUGGUAAGGUAGGCGUCUUUUAUUAGUCGUAUAGGUUCCUUGGGCUUCUCUGUCCGCCUAUAUUCUAUAUGUGGACAAGGAGACUCUGAUCGUUCGAAGAACUCCAGAUGGGCGUCACCGAAGAGAAGGGGAACCUCGGUUUUUUGUUCCUUUGAUGACCUAGACCUACGGGUCACUGGGAUUGGUUGUUAUGUUUGCUAAUGCAACCGUAGACCUAAUUUGGUUAUUUACCCUUUAAAUUCCUUUGUCUCUAUUACCUCGGGGUAAGCUGAAACCAACACAUACACUGUUACUUCUACGUACGUGUUGGAGGGUUUCUGUUCCAACUCAAACUCCACGAGUACUAAUAGGAUGCCAGUUUCGUUCUGGUACCUUUUAACUUCAGUAAGUAACAACUGUUCGACUUAUACCUGUCACCGAAAUACCACGUACAAUUCUUGGAAUUCCGUCUCCACAUAGCCCGUUACGACUGUCGAUAGUGAACACUGGGUCGUUCGACGGUCUAGUAUAGUUCUAGUUAUCUCCUAUGCUGGAACCACUGUAGGUAACUGCGCGUGGGGUGAUUCGGUACCUAACACUGCCCAGUACUCCCUCCCUUAAAAAGGUAAACCCUGAUGGUCUUCUUCCUUUGACACUACUUCAACGUCCAGUUACUCCACGGUCUGUUCCAAUGUGCGUACUAUGUACCGCAGUGAUUUAUGUAGUUUCUCUGCAGAGAACCUGUAGGCCAAAUAAGUCAGUUUAAAUGGCGACUUCCCUUUGCCAACCAUCACCCCCUACCAGCGCCUAUGUAGAUACAGAUACUAAGGUGGCUGUGAUUCGACGUACUCCAGCUCUUUAAGUCUCGAAUACUAUUCUUUAGGCACUUGAGAGACCGACGAGUGGGUUGUUUCGGUAUGGAAGAAGAAAGUAGUAGAAGAAAAUCAUCUUUAUAGUUCGAAACCCUGAGCUCGCUCUUGACCUUUAAAGUUUUAAAGUUUCACUUUGGACUCUUAUGUAUAAUGCAACCACACGUGUCACAGUUCAAAUUAGGUUCCCUGUGGUUGUGAAAACGAACACAAUGGCUACUCCUGUUUCAUUUCCAGACCUUGUAGUUUUGAAGGUAAGAACUUUGGUGUGACUUCCCCGGAAAGCAGUACCGGCUAAUAAAGAAGUUAGCGCCAGUAGUCGUGAACUACCAAUGAAACUUUAAACUGCGUGUGUUGAGGCUCUAUACCCUAAACUUCUGUGCUUUUCAACAAGUGUGAGAAUCGCACUCACCCGUGUUUUGCUGGACCCAACGAACGGUGGGUUUCGAAGGUUAUGACCAAUGUUACAAUCUACUGCCCUGACAUACAAACACCCUACGGUCAUGUAUGUCCGAACUCUUUUACCAAGUGUAAUGGUUGUCGUUCACAGCACUAAACCAUAAACAGGUUCUGUGUUUACCGGCUGGGUCCGAGCAAUAGCGUAAACUCUGUUACUAUCGUUAGUACUUUCAAUUAAACGGUUAACGCUUAUGUUCGUUACGUUCACCUACUUAUGUUCGUUCCGUUGCCUCCGGUAGUGCCUCUAACCCUAUUUCAUAAAUACAAAAACCCCUUAACUAUAAAGCAGAACAUUAAUUAGAACAUUUUUAUAACAAGACCUAUUCUUAUGAAAACACUCGUAACAUUAUAAAAAUAAUAUAAAAAGACUUAAAAUAAAAUAAACAAUACCUAAAAGAGUAAACUUGAGUUCAAACUUAUUAAGUUUGGAGUUAAAACUUAAGUUUUUAGAAACAUACCAAGUACAAACAAAAUCUUGGUAGAUAGAACACAUUCACAAAUACUCAGUUUCUGAUGAAUACAAUAACAAAUUUAAACUUACGGG
Molecule: ribosomal RNA, 3099 nt
Filed under: Triticum aestivum (bread wheat)
Lineage: Eukaryota; Viridiplantae; Streptophyta; Magnoliopsida; Poales; Poaceae
Description: partial small subunit ribosomal RNA
Source: RNAcentral